Molecule: long non-coding RNA, 547 nt
Filed under: Triticum aestivum (bread wheat)
Lineage: Eukaryota; Viridiplantae; Streptophyta; Magnoliopsida; Poales; Poaceae
Description: long non-coding RNA (TAES_LNC009110)
Source: RNAcentral
CGGCUCGUUUCAGAGAGUUCGAGUCGAUCGAGAAGGCAGUAAAGGGUUAUUAGCCAAAAUGAGAGGGAGCGGCCGGAUGCAUGUGAUGGUCAUCUUGUUCGUGGGAUCUCUUGCGCUCGCUGCAGAGUGUUAGUACUGUUUCUUCCCUUGUUUUCGUUUCUUCAAUUUUCAAAUAUAUAUACUAACAAUUAUAACACUACAUGCACGAUUCUAGGUCGUCUCGAGGCCGGAAGAAGGAGCUAUCUAGACGGCGGUGAUAACAACACAAGUACUUAGUAACACUGCUACUCUGACCAACUCGAUAUCAUCAUUAGAUGAUGCCAGGUUUAGCCUGAUAUAUUGCCGCCGGGGUCACUCUUGUGGUGACUGCUACUGCUGCCCUCUCCUGAAGCCCUUAGCGUGUUUCCAGACGCUGGAAGAGUGCAAGUCUAAAUGCCCUAGCUGCGAUCCCAAGUGCCCACCUGAAUCGUCAGUAGAAUUAUAUCCAUGAAAAAAUGUAUGACAGGUUCUGCUCCUUCGAAAAGUAAUAAUAAUUCGUGUUUCGAGA